This 616-nucleotide ribosomal RNA is filed under the name uncultured bacterium. RNAcentral's name for it is "bacterial SSU rRNA". It matches the Rfam family "Bacterial small subunit ribosomal RNA", at positions 338 to 946 of the family's 1533-position model. The record is from RNAcentral.
CCUACGGGAGGCAGCAGUGGGGAAUUUUGGACAAUGGGCGCAAGCCUGAUCCAGCAAUGCCGCGUGCAGGAUGAAGGCCUUCGGGUUGUAAACUGCUUUUGUACGGAACGAAACGGCUCUUUCUAAUAAAGAGAGCUAAUGACGGUACCGUAAGAAUAAGCACCGGCUAACUACGUGCCAGCAGCCGCGGUAAUACGUAGGGUGCGAGCGUUAAUCGGAAUUACUGGGCGUAAAGCGUGCGCAGGCGGUUAUAUAAGACAGAUGUGAAAUCCCCGGGCUCAACCUGGGACCUGCAUUUGUGACUGUAUAGCUAGAGUACGGUAGAGGGGGAUGGAAUUCCGCGUGUAGCAGUGAAAUGCGUAGAUAUGCGGAGGAACACCGAUGGCGAAGGCAAUCCCCUGGACCUGUACUGACGCUCAUGCACGAAAGCGUGGGGAGCAAACAGGAUUAGAUACCCUGGUAGUCCACGCCCUAAACGAUGUCAACUGGUUGUUGGGUCUUCACUGACUCAGUAACGAAGCUAACGCGUGAAGUUGACCGCCUGGGGAAGUACGGCCGCAAGGUUGAAACUUAAAUGAAUUGACGGNNGNGAGNGCGAGCGACGACGAGGGAGAGG